This 492-nucleotide ribosomal RNA is filed under the name uncultured bacterium. RNAcentral describes it as "partial 16S ribosomal RNA". It matches the Rfam family "Bacterial small subunit ribosomal RNA", at positions 29 to 507 of the family's 1533-position model. The record is from RNAcentral.
AGUGAACGCUGGCGGUAGGCCUAACACAUGCCAGUCGAACGGCAGCACAGUAAGAGCUUGCUCUUACGGGUGGCGAGUGGCGGACGGGUGCGGAAUACAUCGGAAUCUACUUUUUCGUGGGGGAUAACGUAGGGAAACUUACGCUAAUACCGCAUACGACCUACGGGUGAAAGCAGGGGAUCUUCGGACCUUGCGCGAUUGAAUGAGCCGAUGUCGGAUUAGCUAGUUGGCGGGGUAAAGGCCCACCAAGGCGACGAUCCGUAGCUGGUCUGAGAGGAUGAUCAGCCACACUGGAACUGAGACACGGUCCAGACUCCUACGGGAGGCAGCAGUGGGGAAUAUUGAACAAUGGGCGCAAGCCUGAUCCAGCCAUACCGCGUGAGUGAAGAAGGCCUUCGGGUUGUAAAGCCCUUUUGUUGGGAAAGAAAAGCAGCAGGUUAAUACCCCGCUGUUCUGACGGUACCCAAAGAAUAAGCACCGGCUAACUUCGUG